AUUCCAGCUCCAAUAGCGUAUAUUAAAGUUGUUGCAGUUAAAAAGCUCGUAGUUGGAUUUCUGGUUAGAUGCGCCUGGCCCGCCGACGUUCAGUCGUGUGAAGUGCUGGUGCGCAACUGCCAUCCUUCUAGAGAAGGGACCAACGGUUCAUUCCGGUUCGGUUCACAAUCUAGAUCUUUUACUUUGAAAAAAUUAGAGUGUUUAAAGCAGGCUUUUGCUAUGAAUACAUUAGCAUGGAAUAAUAAUUUAGGACUCUGUUUCUAUUUUGUUGGUUUCCGGAAACGGAGUAAUGAUUGAUAGGGAUUGUUGGGGGUGCUAGUAUUCAGCGGCCAGAGGUGAAAUUCUCGGAUUCGCUGAAGACUAACUUAUGCGAAAGCAUUCACCAAGGAAGUCUUCAUUG
This 400-nucleotide ribosomal RNA is filed under the name Filosa sp. RNAcentral's name for it is "partial small subunit ribosomal RNA". It matches the Rfam family "Eukaryotic small subunit ribosomal RNA", at positions 582 to 975 of the family's 1831-position model. The record is from RNAcentral. Lineage: Eukaryota; Cercozoa.